AAUAGAUACCCGGGUAGUCCAUGCCGUAAACGUUGGGAACUAGGUGUGGGUCUCAUUCCACGAGAUCCGUGCCGCAGCUAACGCAUUAAGUUCCCCGCCUGGGGAGUACGGCCGCAAGGCUAAAACUCAAAGGAAUUGACGGGGGCCCGCACAAGCGGCGGAGCAUGCGGAUUAAUUCGAUGCAACGCGAAGAACCUUACCAAGGCUUGACAUACACCGGAAUCACUCAGAGAUGGGUGCGUCUUCGGACUGGUGUACAGGUGGUGCAUGGUUGUCGUCAGCUCGUGUCGUGAGAUGUUGGGUUAAGUCCCGCAACGAGCGCAACCCUCGUUCUAUGUUGCCAGCACGUGAUGGUGGGGACUCAUAGGAGACUGCCGGGGUCAACUCGGAGGAAGGUGGGGAUGACGUCAAAUCAUCAUGCCCCUUAUGUCUUGGGCUUCACGCAUGCUACAAUGGCCCGUACAAAGGGCUGCGAAACCGCGAGGUGGAGCGAAUCCCAAAAAACCGGUCUCAGUUCGGAUUGGGGUCUGCAACUCCG
RNAcentral lists this ribosomal RNA (538 nucleotides) under uncultured bacterium. RNAcentral's name for it is "bacterial SSU rRNA". It matches the Rfam family "Bacterial small subunit ribosomal RNA", at positions 777 to 1314 of the family's 1533-position model. The record is from RNAcentral.